CAUAGGGACACUUCCUGAACAUCAGGGACUGAGCUGUACACAGCAACAGGCAGAUCCAUGCUGUGUGGCAAAUGGAAAGUGACCUCCUUAUUCCAAAAUUAGCCCAAAUGCAUCUACUGUGAACAAGGAACUCCUGUGGGCCAGGUGGAAAACUGUGGCAGCCCAGCUUUGGAUUGUUCAGCUGAGCCCUCGGGUUAUAGCUGUAAUUCCCAGAAGGAUUUGGCUGAAAAUUCUUUGAGGUUUUGGGAACUCUGUGUAAAUAGCAAGAUCCAUACCUGCCACCAGGGCUACACCAGAGAUGUUUGUGAUCACUGGCAAUGCUGCCUUUUUCCAAGAGUCUUUUAACCAUCAUUUUGGUUUUGAAGCCCCUCUUCUAGGUGCAGGAGUGACACCAGCAUAAGCUUCCAAUGUCCCAUGGGGAACUCCAGAGCCCAGGGAAAGUGCAAAAAGGCAGGAAUGGACUUCCAGUGGGAUGAGGAGGCUGGAGAAAAUCUCCUUCCAUAUCACACCUUGGUCACAUCACUCAGCCCUGCUGGGAGCUCCAGGAGAAGGGGAAAGAGCCAGUGCAUUUCAUGCUGCUGUCCCCCAGGUUUGCUGCUGUCCCUCAGAUGUUUUGCCAUCCAGUUUGGGCACUCCAGGAAGAAUUUGCUGCAUCACAAGCUGGAAGCACUGAGGAGUCCAGAGCUGCUUUCCUGAAGACCAAUAUUUUUUAUUGUCUUCUGCCCAAUUAAUGCAGUAACCAAUCCAGGUGAGCAAGAUCUUGUAUCCAUGCAGAGCCAUUGUCAGCUUGAGUGGGAUCCCUCAGCCCUCCCCACAUCAUUUCAGUUGCAGGCUGAGGCUUUCCAGGAAAUCAGAGUCAUGGAAUUACUUAGAUUUGUGAACCCAUG
RNAcentral lists this long non-coding RNA (887 nucleotides) under Cyanistes caeruleus (blue tit). RNAcentral describes it as "lncRNA (ENSCCEG00000008271.1)". Lineage: Eukaryota; Metazoa; Chordata; Aves; Passeriformes; Paridae. The record is from RNAcentral.